GAUGAAGCACGCAGCGAAAUGCGAUACGUAAUGUGAAUUGCAAAUUCAGUGAAUCAUCGAGUCUUUGAACGCACAUUGCGCCCCCUGGUAUUCCGGGGGGCAUGCCUGUCCGAGCGUCAUUGCUGCCCUCAAGCACGGCUUGUGUGUUGGGCCCCGUCCUCCGAUCCCGGGGGACGGGCCCGAAAGGCAGCGGCGGCACCGCGUCCGGUCCUCGAGCGUAUGGGGCUUUGUCACCCGCUCUGUAGGCCCGGCCGGCGCUUGCCGAUCAACCCAAAUUUUUAUCCAGGUUGACCUCGGAUCAGGUAGGGAUACCCGCUGAACUUAAGCAUAUCAAUAAGCGGAGGA
RNAcentral lists this unclassified non-coding RNA (345 nucleotides) under soil metagenome. RNAcentral's name for it is "partial contains 5.8S ribosomal RNA, internal transcribed spacer 2, and large subunit ribosomal RNA". The stretch from base 1 to 119 matches the Rfam family "5.8S ribosomal RNA", at positions 35 to 154 of the family's 154-position model. The record is from RNAcentral.